This 484-nucleotide ribosomal RNA is filed under the name uncultured bacterium. RNAcentral describes it as "partial 16S ribosomal RNA". It matches the Rfam family "Bacterial small subunit ribosomal RNA", at positions 30 to 507 of the family's 1533-position model. The record is from RNAcentral.
AUCGAACGCUGGCGGCAGGCCUAACACAUGCAGGUCGAGCGGAUGAAGGGAGCUUGCUCCUGGAUUCAGCGGCGGACGGGUGAGUAAUGCCUAGGAAUCUGCCUGGUAGUGGGGGAUAACGUCCGGAAACGGGCGCUAAUACCGCAUACGUCCUGAGGGAGAAAGUGGGGGAUCUUCGGACCUCACGCUAUCAGAUGAGCCUAGGUCGGAUUAGCUAGUUGGUGGGGUAAAGGCCUACCAAGGCGACGAUCCGUAACUGGUCUGAGAGGAUGAUCAGUCACACUGGAACUGAGACACGGUCCAGACUCCUACGGGAGGCAGCAGUGGGGAAUAUUGGACAAUGGGCGAAAGCCUGAUCCAGCCAUGCCGCGUGUGUGAAGAAGGUCUUCGGAUUGUAAAGCACUUUAAGUUGGGAGGAAGGGCAGUAAGUUAAUACCCUGCUGUUUUGACGUUACCAACAGAAUAAGCACCGGCUAACUUCGUG